UGCCGCGUGUGUGAAGAAGGCCUUCGGNUUGUAAAGCACUUUCAGCGAGGAGGAAAGGGUGUUGUUUAAUACGCAACAUCUGUGACGUUACUCGCAGAAGAAGCACCGGCUAACUUCGUGCCAGCAGCCGCGGUAAUACGAGGGGUGCAAGCGUUAACCGGAAUUACUGGACGUAAAGCGUGCGUAGGUGGUUUGUUAAGCAAGAUGUGAAAGCCCCGGGCUCAACCUGGGAACUGCAUUUUGAACUGGCAGGCUAGAGUAUUGUAGAGGGUAGUGGAAUUUCCAGUGUAGCGGUGAAAUGCGUAGAGAUUGGAAGGAACAUCAGUGGCGAAGGCGGCUACCUGGACAAAUACUGACACUGAGGCACGAAAGCGUGGGGAGCAAACAGGAUUAGAUACCCUGGUAGUCCACGCCGUAAACGAUGUCAACUAGCCGUCUGUGGUCUUGAACCGUGGGUGGCGUAGCUAACGCGCUAAGUUGACCGCCUGGGGAGUACGGCCGCAAGGUUA
This 509-nucleotide ribosomal RNA is filed under the name uncultured Gammaproteobacteria bacterium. RNAcentral describes it as "bacterial SSU rRNA". It matches the Rfam family "Bacterial small subunit ribosomal RNA", at positions 395 to 896 of the family's 1533-position model. Lineage: Bacteria; Pseudomonadati; Pseudomonadota; Gammaproteobacteria. The record is from RNAcentral.